ACUGCAGUCGAGCGAACAGACGAGGAGCUUGCUCCUUUGACGUUAGCGGCGGACGGGUGAGUAACACGUGGGUAACCUACCUAUAAGACUGGGAUAACUUCGGGAAACCGGAGCUAAUACCGGAUAAUAUUUCGAACCGCAUGGUUCGAUAGUGAAAGAUGGUUUUGCUAUCACUUAUAGAUGGACCCGCGCCGUAUUAGCUAGUUGGUAAGGUAACGGCUUACCAAGGCGACGAUACGUAGCCGACCUGAGAGGGUGAUCGGCCACACUGGAACUGAGACACGGUCCAGACUCCUACGGGAGGCAGCAGUAGGGAAUCUUCCGCAAUGGGCGAAAGCCUGACGGAGCAACGCCGCGUGAGUGAUGAAGGUCUUCGGAUCGUAAAACUCUGUUAUUAGGGAAGAACAUACGUGUAAGUAACUAUGCACGUCUUGACGGUACCUAAUCAGAAAGCCACGGCUAACUACGUGCCAGCAGCCGCGGUAAUACGUAGGUGGCAAGCGUUAUCCGGAAUUAUUGGGCGUAAAGCGCGCGUAGGCGGUUUUUUAAGUCUGAUGUGAAAGCCCACGGCUCAACCGUGGAGGGUCAUUGGAAACUGGAAAACUUGAGUGCAGAAGAGGAAAGUGGAAUUCCAUGUGUAGCGGUGAAAUGCGCAGAGAUAUGGAGGAACACCAGUGGCGAAGGCGACUUUCUGGUCUGUAACUGACGCUGAUGUGCGAAAGCGUGGGGAUCAAACAGGAUUAGAUACCCUGGUAGUCCACGCCGUAAACGAUGAGUGCUAAGUGUUAGGGGGUUUCCGCCCCUUAGUGCUGCAGCUAACGCAUUAAGCACUCCGCUGGGGAGUACGACCGCAAGGUGAACUCAAAGGAAUUGACGGGGACCCGCCACAAGCGUGAGCAUGUGGUUUAAUUCGAAGCAACGCGAAGAACCUUACCAAAUCUUGACAUCCUUUGACAACUCUAGAGAUAGAGCCUUCC
RNAcentral lists this ribosomal RNA (977 nucleotides) under Staphylococcus sp. A2.15. Its description in RNAcentral is "bacterial SSU rRNA". It matches the Rfam family "Bacterial small subunit ribosomal RNA", at positions 53 to 1017 of the family's 1533-position model. Lineage: Bacteria; Bacillati; Bacillota; Bacilli; Caryophanales; Staphylococcaceae. The record is from RNAcentral.